GACUAUUUUAAGAAAAUAGAAGACUAUCAUUUACAGCUGGUAUGGCCCUGUGGUGGUGUGGACCCAGACUUCAAACACAGAUGAAGAUCGAAAACUGAUAUCCCGCAUCUGAUAUCAGGAUGAGUUGCAGAAAAACUCCUCAGACACCGGAUUAAAGAAGGAAGAGGUUUUUUAUUUGUCCGGGAGCGUCGGCAGACUCGCGUCUUAAGAGCCGAGCUCCCCGAAAAAGAAAUUCCUAGCCCUUUUAAGGCCUUACAACUCUAAGGAGUCUACGUGAAAGAGUCAUAAUAGAUCAAACAAAUUAAGAAUUCAGAGCCCAAUCCUAACUUCAAGCCAAGAAGUAAAAAAAGGAAGAAAAAAUCAAGACGCUCAGAACAGAACUCCAGCAAUAUUGAACCCAGAAAGAAAAUUGGCCAGGCGCGGUGGCUCACGCCUGUAAUCCUAGCACUUUGGAAGGUCGAGGUGGGCAGAUCACCUGAAGUCGGGAGUUCGAGACCAGCCUGACCAACAUGGAGAAACCCCGUCUCUACUCAAAAUACAAAAAAUUAGCCGGGCAUGGUGGCACAUGCCUGUAAUCCCAGCUACUUGGGAGGCUGAGGCAGGAGAAUUGCUUGAACCCAGGAGGCGGAUGUUGCGGUGAGCUGAGAUCGCGCCAUUGCACUCCAGCCUGGGCAACAAGAGGGAAACUCCAUCUCAAAAAAAAAAGAAAAGAAAAGAAAAAGAAAAAAGGAAAGAAAAUUGGAGCUAGGCGCGGUGGCUCAUGCCUGUAAUCCCAGCACUUUGGGAGGCCGAGAUGGGGCUGAUUACCUGAGGUCGGGAGUUUGAGAGCAGCCUGGCCAACAUGGUGAAACCCCGUCUCUACAAAAAUACAAAAAAAAUUAGCCAGGCAUGAUGGCGGGUGCCUGUAAUCCCAGCUACUCGGGAGGCUCAGGUGGGAGAAUCGCUUGAACCUGGGAGGCGGAAGUUGCAGUGAGCCGAGAUUGAGCUGUUGCGCUCCAGCCUGGGCGACAGAGCGAAACUCCAUCUUAGGAAAAGAAAGAAAGAAAGAAAGAAAGAAAGAAAGAAAGAA
Molecule: long non-coding RNA, 1069 nt
Filed under: Homo sapiens (human)
Lineage: Eukaryota; Metazoa; Chordata; Mammalia; Primates; Hominidae
Description: HSALNT0408483
Source: RNAcentral